CCUACGGGUGGCAGCAGUGGGGAAUAUUGGGCAAUGGGCGCAAGCCUGACCCAGCAACGCAGCGUGAAGGAAGAAGGCUUUCGGGUUGUAAACUUCUUUUCUCAGGGACGAAACAAGUGACGGUACCUGAGGAAUAAGCCACGGCUAAAUACGUGCCAGCAGCCGCUGUAAUACGUAGGUGGCAAGCGUUAUCCGGAUGUACUGGGUGUAAAGGGCGUGUAGGCGGGAAAGCAAGUGAGUUGUGAAAACUAUGGGCUCAACCUGUGGGUUGCAUUGGAAACUGUUUUUCUUGAGUACUGGAGAGGCAGACGGAAUUCCUAGUGUAGCGGUGAAAUGCGUAGAUAUUAGGAGGAACACCAGUGGCGAAGGCGGUCUGCUGGACAGCAACUGACGCUGAGGCGCGAAAGCGUGGGGAGCAAACAGGAUUAGAUACCCGUGUAGUC
RNAcentral lists this ribosomal RNA (443 nucleotides) under uncultured bacterium. RNAcentral describes it as "partial 16S ribosomal RNA". It matches the Rfam family "Bacterial small subunit ribosomal RNA", at positions 338 to 795 of the family's 1533-position model. The record is from RNAcentral.